This 372-nucleotide long non-coding RNA is filed under the name Naja naja (Indian cobra). Its description in RNAcentral is "lncRNA (ENSNNAG00000008941.1)". Lineage: Eukaryota; Metazoa; Chordata; Lepidosauria; Squamata; Elapidae. The record is from RNAcentral.
CUUUUUCGGAUGACUCAUGGGAGGAAGGCGGUGUGCGGAACGGCUUUUCUGCUCUUCCCAGGAUCGAAGCAGCAGCUGGCAGCCAGUGUCUCAGGGUGGAGAGGAAGUCGCAUGUCUCCCAGUUGUGCAGCACCAGCAAGGCUGGAAGAAACGCCCAUGAGAUCCAGCAAGAGACAAAGAAGGUGGCAAUAAGAGCAUCUGGAACAACUGUAAAUAACAAACAACGUUGAAAAGGGAAGAAAAUCAAGCCAGAAAUCAAAAUAUUUUCCAUUUUUUCAGAAAACAAUACAAUUCUGCUCCUCCUCCAGCAACUGUUAGACAAAAGAGAGAAAAUCAAUAAAGAUUUCAAGCAGGAAUAAGCAGGUUAUUCAG